AUUGAACGCUGGCGGCAGGCUUAACACAUGCAAGUCGAGCGAGCGGCGGACGGGUGAGUAAUGUCUGGGAAACUGCCUGAUGGCGGGGGAUAACUACUGGAAACGGUAGCUGAUACCGCAUACCAUCAGAUGUGCCCAGGUGGGAUUAGCUGGUAGGUGGGGUAAUGGCUCACCUAGGCGACGAUCCCUAGCUGGUCUGAGAGGAUGACCAGCAACAUGGGAAUUGAGAACCGGUCCAGACUCUGAGGGGAGGAAGAGGUGGGGAACAUCGGACAAUGGGCGCAAGCCUGCCGCAGACCUGCCGCGGGUUUGAAGAAGGCCUUCGGGCUGUAAAGUCCGUUCAGAGGGGAGGCGGUACUCGCAGAAGAAGCACCGGCUAACUCCGUGCCAGCAGCCGCGGUAAUUC
Molecule: ribosomal RNA, 406 nt
Filed under: uncultured bacterium
Lineage: Bacteria
Description: partial 16S ribosomal RNA
Rfam family: Bacterial small subunit ribosomal RNA
Source: RNAcentral